This 303-nucleotide ribosomal RNA is filed under the name uncultured bacterium. RNAcentral's name for it is "partial 16S ribosomal RNA". It matches the Rfam family "Bacterial small subunit ribosomal RNA", at positions 507 to 807 of the family's 1533-position model. The record is from RNAcentral.
AGCAGUCGCCGCGGUAAUACGUAGGGUGCGAGCGUUAUUCGGAAUUACUGGGCGUAAAGCGUGCGCAGGCGGUUAUAUAAGACAGAUGUGAAAUCCCCGGGCUCAACCUGGGACCUGCAUUUGUGACUGUAUAGCUAGAGUACGGUAGAGGGGGAUGGAAUUCCGCGUGUAGCAGUGAAAUGCGUAGAUAUGCGGAGGAACACCGAUGGCGAAGGCAAUCCCCUGGACCUGUACUGACGCUCAUGCACGAAAGCGUGGGGAGCAAACAGGAUUAGAUACCCCUGUAGUCCCUGUCUCUUAUAC